This 215-nucleotide ribosomal RNA is filed under the name uncultured bacterium. Its description in RNAcentral is "partial 16S ribosomal RNA". It matches the Rfam family "Bacterial small subunit ribosomal RNA", at positions 1285 to 1500 of the family's 1533-position model. The record is from RNAcentral.
GUCUCAGUUCGGAUUGAAGGCUGAAAUUCGCCUUCAUGAAGCCGGAAUUGCUAGUAAUGGCAGGUCAGCAUACUGCCGUGAAUACGUUCCUGGGCCUUGUACACACCGCCCGUCACACCAUGAGAGUUGGGAAUACCCGAAGCCUGUGAGCUAACUUUUAGAGGCAGCAGUCGAAGGUAGAAUCAAUGAUUGGGGUGAAGUCGUAACAAGGUAGC